UUUACCCAACACUGGAGGAGAAGCUGCAGAGACAGUGGGACAAGGCUGAGCAGCUGCUUUACGAUGAGCUCAUCACCCACCAGGGCUACAGGAAGCUGCUGAGAUCUAUCUUCGAGGAGGUUGGGUACCUGGUGGCAGAGAGAGAAACACUGUCCUCACAGCCCCCAGCACAGCAGCCACUGGCCUCCUGCAGCGAGGAGCGCAGGAAACUGGCAGCUGAGGUGCAGGAGCUGAGGGCAUUACUGAACCAACACAACAUCACAGUCAGAGAGCAGUCCGGUCCAGCGGCUUCAGAGCCAAGUACCCGGCGCCCGACUUCGCCCUCACUCGCUCCCCGGCACCUCAGAGGGGAUGAGGGGCUUCGGGACGACGCACAGCGAAACCCCCUCCCCUAGGAGCAGUGACUAAGGCUGAGCAGAGACCGAGGAGCCGCGGAGGUCAGGACCAGACAGAAUGGCCGCUUGCCCCUCCCCCCUCGCUGGCCCCCCUCCCCAGGCAUCGCUCAUCCCCCCUCGCUAGGCCUUGCUGAGUGGAAGUAGGAAAGUGCGUCUUGUUUUGUUUCUGAACCCAAUGAAAGACUUUUUACUCCACAA
Callorhinchus milii (elephant shark) is the source of this 593-nucleotide long non-coding RNA. RefSeq lists it as uncharacterized. The transcript is spliced from 4 exons. Lineage: Eukaryota; Metazoa; Chordata; Chondrichthyes; Chimaeriformes; Callorhinchidae. The record is from RefSeq and is a predicted model, not a curated record.